GACGGGGCCGCACAAGCGGAGGAGCAUGUGGUUAAUUCGAUGAUACGCGAGGAACCUUACCUGGGCUCGAACGUAAGAUGACUGUAGGUGAAAGCUUACAUCUCUUCGGAGCAUUUUACGAGGUGCUGCAUGGUUGUCGUCAGCUCGUGCCGUGAGGUGUCGGGUUAAGUCCCAUAACGAGCGCAACCCCUACCUUUAGUUGCCAUCAGGUAAUGCUGGGGACUCUAAAGGAACUGCCUACGCAAGUAGUGAGGAAGGCGGGGAUGACGUCAAAUCAGCACGGCCCUUACGUCCAGGGCUACACACGUGCUACAAUGGCCGAUACAGAGGGCAGCUACCUGGUGACAGGAUGCAAAUCUCCAAAGUCGGUCUCAGUUCGGAUCGGAGUCUGCAACCCGACUCCGUGAAGUUGGAUUCGCUAGUAAUCGCGCAUCAGCCAUGGCGCGGUGAAUACGUUCCCGGGCCUU
Molecule: ribosomal RNA, 467 nt
Filed under: uncultured Sphingobacteriales bacterium
Lineage: Bacteria; Pseudomonadati; Bacteroidota; Sphingobacteriia; Sphingobacteriales
Description: bacterial SSU rRNA
Rfam family: Bacterial small subunit ribosomal RNA
Source: RNAcentral